Molecule: long non-coding RNA, 2904 nt
Filed under: Homo sapiens (human)
Lineage: Eukaryota; Metazoa; Chordata; Mammalia; Primates; Hominidae
Description: HSALNT0233013
Source: RNAcentral
GCUGUGACCCUCCAGGAGCGGUAACUGCAGAUACAAAUCUCUGCAGCUGCUGGAAACAGGGCACUCGGCAGCUGCUCCAGCGCCCCUCUCCUGUGGCCUGCUUGCUUACCAGGCCCAGGGCCCAUCCUGGGGGCCUGCGACCUUGGGCUGCGGGGGUCGGGGAGGGGGCUGGGGCAGAGAGGUGGCAAUUUUGCUCUCUAUUUUAGGCAUCACUGGCAGGAAUGAGAGAAGAGACUGGAAGGAUCAGUCAUCUCUCCAUCAUCUCUCUCCCCUGAGGAUCCCCACAGGGGUAAGAUCAUAGAUGGGUCUUCCCGCGAGGGUCAGGGACUGGGAAAUAUUCACAGACGGGGCACGCAGCUGAAGAUCUGAGAAACCAAUUACUAUGCUACUGGGGGGCCCAGGAGAAGCAGAAGGAACUGGACCGGGACAGCCGCUCACGCUUCAAGGGCAGGAAUGGAGGUGACUCCAGGAACCUGUCAACUGUGGGGGCAGGGGGCUUCCAACAGAGGUAGGUGGGGGUCUUCUUCAGGAAAAGGGCUGGAAGGAGGGGCUCAGCUCAUGGGAGAGGAAGGAAAAAGCUGACUCUUCUCAGGAAAAAUGAGUGGACAAGGAAAGCUGGCCGAGUUCACAGGCACCUGGCAUUAGCUGACUGAAGCCAGCGUACCCUGAAGAGCCAAACAAGUCCAUGGCAGGGAUGUCUGCGGUGUCGAGAUGGUUUUAAACUUAGUCCAGAUUAUCUGCUUAAACUGCCUGUCCUAGCAGCACUGAACCUUCCAGAAUGACACAGCAGCAAGAACCCUGGUCAAGCCAGCUUCCUGAGCCGGCUUCCUAACUAGCCUGCGGUGUUUCACGAGACUAAUGGCAGAGGAGAGUGUGUAGGGCCACAGCUGUCAUGGUGAACAAGUGAGGGUCUCACCACCUGCCCCCACUGGCGAGCCCUGGGCCCCACUUCCCUCCGUCCCACUGGAAGCUCUGUGAGCCAGCCACCUCAGGCACAGCCUGGCACAUGCCCACUGCCUAUCUGAAGGCUCCUCUCAGGGACUUGGGCACCCUCACACAGCGGUAGGAGGUUUUCUGAACCUGCUUCAGCCCUCCACUGGCUCACAGGGUACCUCAGAGGUAAGGCCACCAGGGGCCUCCCAGCCACACUCCAGGUUGCCCAGAGGGUGUGGGGACUGGUCUCUGGGCUUCUGAGCAGACUGCUUGCUGUGUCAGAAACACCUCCCCCACUCCUUCCCCGACCAGUUCCUACUCAUCUUUCCUGGCUCAGCUUAGAUGUCACGUUUCAGAAGCUUUCCCAGACUCCCCCAACAGGCUGGGCACCCCCUCCCCCACAUCUGUUUCACCAAGGAUCACCACUGUGCGAUGCUAUGCUUGCAAUCGUGACUAACCCUGGCGGGCAGGGACUAGCUCUGCCCACUGCGGUGUUCCCACUGGUGGGCACUGUGCCAGGCACUGACGGACACCCAGGACAGGGUUGCUCAGUGAUACAUGGCGCUUCCUGGCUCCCCUGCCUGCCCAGCACAGCAGCAGCGCCCUGCCGCCCCCUGGGUGAAACUCUGAUCUACCCUUGCAGGGAGGGGGCCGAGCUCUUGCUCCCGGCGGUUCCAUUCUCAGAGAGGCGAGCGCUCUUGCCCGGCCUGACAGCUGUGGCCUAAUUUCCAGGGCUAUAACCGGGCUCCUUAUUUUUACCCACUUGGUAUUUUUCAUUACUGAUGCAUGGGAGAUGGCCAGGGAUUGGGAAUGGGGGAGGUGUGGGCUAAUGGAAGACGCGUAUGCGGUGGAGUCGGGGCUGUCGGGCCAAGGUGAGGGCCUGCAGGCGGGAUAGAGAAGGGGUGGGGACAGACCAGACAGAUACAUGUAUUUUUAAAUUUUACAAGGGAAAAAGAAAAUCCCAAAUCCCACCCCCUUGUUUUUCCUCAGUAAGCAUUUUCAACAAGGUCACAAAUGCGCUGGCUCUAUAGAUUUUUGGCUCCAAACCACAUUUCAGGCAGCCUUUAAAAGCCAAUUCUUGGCAUAGCUUCAGCGGAGCCUGAGGAGAGGGGAAAACUAGGGCACUUUUAUGCUUUCAGAAAACCUCAGAUCCAGGUCACAGCUUCCUGGCUCUACUGACGCUGUGGGGCACCCCCCUUCUCACAGGCCUGACCUGAGGACCCCCCUCCACCUCCCCCAGUGUUUUCUUCAGAGCAUGGAUCACAAGACCAGGUCACCUGUUUCUUUGUUACUUGUCCCUGUGGGCCCCUCCCAUGAGGCUGCAGCCCCGGGGGAGGCGUGAGCCAUGCCACAGCUGGCAUGGGGCCUGGCACAUCCCAGGCACUCAGGAAUAUUUGCGGAAUGCCCCUCUGUGUGGAGUGAGUGAAUCUUUGACCCCUGUUCCCCAGCCAGGGAGCUCUCUCCUUAUGAACUCCCCAGUGCUCUUGUCCAGCCCCUAUAAGAUGUUCCCAUCUCCCUGAAAUACCUUCUCCCCGGUCUGUGGAGGCUGGGCCCAUGUUGGCCUGGCCCAGGCCCUCCUCCGUACAAAGGCAGCAGGCAGUAAAUAUUUACAGGAGAAAUCAAAGCCUCAGUUUCUUUCUGUAUGAAAGAACCCAACUGGCCCAUAAGGUCCCUCCUGGCUUCUCCCUGACUGAGACUCUCUGGGACUCUGAUCAGUUUUGGCCCUGCGGCUACCCAGGCCUGGGUCACAUGUAUGGAGACAGGGCCCCAAGCGGGCCCUGGUAUGAGGUGCUGGGCCUGCGUCCCAAUUCCACACGCGACAAAGGGUAGAAGACCCAUCCGCUCUGCCUGCAUGGAUGCUUCCAGAAAUAGUGCUGUUGGCGGAAGGAGGCCACAAAGGAGGAAUCAGCUGGAGGCCAUACCUGGCCACCACCUCCUCACUGCCUGCUCCCACUGUGGAUCUGGAGGGUC